Long non-coding RNA from Nicotiana tabacum (common tobacco), 3811 nucleotides. RefSeq lists it as uncharacterized. The record is from RefSeq and is a predicted model, not a curated record. Lineage: Eukaryota; Viridiplantae; Streptophyta; Magnoliopsida; Solanales; Solanaceae.
AUUGCUUCUUACAACUCAAUUCUAUCUCUAUUGCAUUUCUUUGCUUUGCUUUUGUUCAGUACCAAGUUCUGUCUAGUUCUUCUUUAUCCUCCUUUUGUCCUGUAAGUGUUUGAUAAAAUUCUUCUUCAGCUUUACUAUAUUUUCCUUGCAGUUCUUAGCUGUUGAAAGCUGCUGAAUUUUUGCUUGUUUAAUCAAGGUCCAUUGUGUAGUUAGGCGUGUUGUAAGCAACUUUAAUUGUGUACAUCUUGGAUAUUGAAUGGAUCGGAUUGGACACUACAUACUUAUGGUGAAGAAAACUUAGCAGAUUGUUUGGUUCCUGAUCUCUCUUUGCACAUAUUAUGCAGGAAAGAGCCCUUUCAUGGCUACAUAGUACAAAAAAUACUUUUUGCUUAUUGUAUCACUUUGCUUUCAAUAUGGAACUAUAUUAGUCUUGCCAUCAAAUCCUUGAUUGUGUAACUAUAAUGUUUGACCGUUGCAGUUCGUGUGAAGUUUAAUAUAUCAAUUACUAGAAUGUUAUACAACAUUGGAAAUUGACAGUACAUUAACAAACCUAGAGGGAAUGAAGAAAGUAUCAUAAAUAAUGAAAAGGGUACUAUUGCUUCAUAAUGAGGGCAUUUUUGUCAUUUCUUGUGCUGAUGACACGUUCACCCUAAUUUGCCGCGUAAAAAGCAUCGCUUCUUACAACUCAAUUCUAUCUCUGCUGCAUUUCUUUGCUUUGCUUUUGUUUAGUACCAAGUUCUGUCUUGUUCUUCUUUACCCUCCUUUUGUCCUGUAAGUGUUUGAUAAAAUUCCUCUUAAGCUUUACUGUGUUUUCCUUGCAGUUCUUUGCAGUUGAAAGUUGCUGAAUUUUGCUUGUUUAAUCAAAGUUUUUUCCCUCAUCAAUAAUCUCUCUUUUGAUCUGCAAUUUUAUACAAAGGAGACAAAUGUUUCAAAAGAGUAGAGUUUUUGGAUAUAGCUUUCUGGGAUUAUCCUCAUCGCAGGUCCAUUGUGUAGUUAGGCGUGUUGUAAGCAGCUUUAAUUGUGUACAUCUUGGAUAUUGAGUAAGUCUCUUUUGGUAUUUGCUUCUCUUUCUGGUAUAGAAAACACAGUAAAAGUAGUAUGACUAUACUCUGGUUUAGAUUCUCUUGUAGAAUACUAAAAUUGUUGCGAUAAUAGGCAUUAUUUUCGUGCGACGAACUUCUAUUGCAGUGCAGGCAACAUGAGUUUGAUUUGCGUCUUUUUCUUUUCUUACAAUUACUUCAUGUUUUGCAUUGGAGAAAUAUAAAUAUUGUGUGCAAACGGUAAGUAUUUACCCGCAUGAACCUAGCAAGAGAUAAAAUCAGUUCUUAUAGUCUGAAAUUUUUGAAAUCAUUAAAAGUAUUCUUUGUCAAUUACAAAGAUGAGCUUCCGUUGUUAUUGUCUGACUAAACAACAACACGUCUAAUUUUUUGUUUGGAAGGAGCAGAGUUGUCCAAGCCUCAUUUGAGGCGCGCUUAAGCCCUGAAACUCAAAAACGCUCAGGGUAUGCGCUUCGCCUCACUUAGGUUGCGCUUCAUUAUAGGCAAUGCACUAAGGUGUGCGCCUCAUUGCCUAUGUUUGAAUAAAACGGUGCAAAAUAAAUAAAUAUAAUUGGCAAAAAGAAAUCUCAAUUGUUGAGGAAAUCACUAUGAAUGAAAUUGUCAUUUUUUUCUUGCAUUACAUAUAUAUUUUUAUUUUUUUCUUUGUUGCGCCUUUUUCAACUAAAGCCCACACUUCAAUUGCACUUUGCGCUUAAAGCCCCCUUUGACUACACUGGGAAGGAGUUAUAUUAUGUUGCAUCUUUAAUUUCUUUUGAUUAGUGUUAGCUAUGUCUAAAACUUAUAUACCUAUAAAGGCAUAUCUAUAAGUUCUACCUAUAAAAAAAUAGUUAUAUUAUGUGGGAACUUCUUGGCGCAUCACAAAAAUAGAGAUAGGAUCGUCAUGUCAACAAAAAAAAGAUUAAGGUAUUAAGAGCUAAAUGUAUCUUUCUGCUUCUUUCUUUCUAUGAAUUUGCUGAAUUUUGAUUCAGCUGAAUAGAUGAAAAACCGAACUUCCGUGUUUGAUACGAGUAUACAGUGUUAUAUGAAAAUUUUUGAAUUUCCAUUUAUGUCAUAACAUGUUUGCAGAUGGAUCGGAUUGGACACUACAUACUUAUGGUGAAGAAAACUUAGCAGAUUGUUUGGUUCCUGAUCUCUCUUUGCACAUAUUAUGCAGGAAAGAGCCCUUUCAUGGCUACAUAGUACAAAAAAUACUUUUUGCUUAUUGUAUCACUUUGCUUUCAAUAUGGAACUAUAUUAGUCUUGCCAUCAAAUCCUUGAUUGUGUAACUAUAAUGUUUGACCGUUGCAGUUCGUGUGAAGUUUAAUAUAUCAAUUACUAGAAUGUUAUACAACAUUGGAAAUUGACAGUACAUUAACAAACCUAGAGGGAAUGAAGAAAGUAUCAUAAACAAUGAAAAGGGUACUAUUGCUUCAUAAUGAGGGCAUUUUUGUCAUUUCUUGUGCUGAUGACACGUUCACCCUAAUUUGCCGCGUAAAAAUCAUCGCUUCUUACAACUCAAUUCUAUCUCUGCUGCAUUUCUUUACUUUGCUUUUGUUUAGUACCAAGUUCUGUCUUGUUCUUCUUUACCCUCCUUUUGUCCUGUAAGUGUUUGAUAAAAUUCCUCUUAAGCUUUACUGUGUUUUCCUUGCAGUUCUUUGCAGUUGAAAGUUGCUGAAUUUUGCUUGUUUAAUCAAAGUUUUUUCCCUCAUCAAUAAUCUCUCUUUUGAUCUGCAAUUUUAUUCAAAGGAGACAAAUUUUUCAAAAGAGUAGAGUUUUUGGAUAUAGCUUUCUGGGAUUAUCCUCAUCGCAGGGCCAUUGUGUAGUUAGGCGUGUUGUAAGCAGCUUUAAUUGUGUACAUCUUGGAUAUUGAGUAAGUCUCUUUUGGUAUUUGCUUCUCUUUCUGGUAUAGAAAACACAGUAAAAGUAGUAUCACUAUACUCUGGUUUAGAUUCUCUUGUAGAAUACUAAAAUUGUUGCGAUAGUAGGCAUUAUUUUCGUGCGACGAACUUCUGUUGCAGUGCAGGCAACAUGAGUUUGAUUUGCGUAUUUUUCUUUUCUCACAAUUACUUCAUGUUUUGCAUUGGAGAAAUAUAAAUAUUGUGUGCAAACGGUAAGUAUUUACCCGCAUGAACGUAGCAAGAGAUAAAAUCAGUUCUUAUAGUCUGAAAUUUUUUAAAUCAUUAAAAGUAUUCUUUGUCAAUUACAAAGAUGAGCUUCCGUUGUUAUUGUCUGACUAAACAACAACACGUCUAAUUUUUUGUUUGGAAGGAGCAGUAUUGUCCAAGCCUCAUUUGAGGCGCGCUUAAGCCCUGAAACUCAAAAACGCUCAGGGUAUGCGCUUCGCCUCACUUAGGUUGCGCUUCAUUAUAGGCAAUGCACUAAGGUGUGUGCCUCAUUGCCUAUGUUUGAAUAAAGCGGUGCAAAAUAAAUAAAUGUAAUUGGCAAAAAGAAAUCUCAAUUGUUGAGGAAAUCACUAUGAAUGAAAUUGUCAUUUUUUUCUUGCAUUACAUAUAUAUUUUUAUUUUUUUCUUUGUUGCGCCUUUUUCAACUAAAGCCCACACUUCAAUUGCACUUUGCGCUUAAAGCCCCCUUUGACUACACUGGGAAGGAGUUAUAUUAUGUUGCAUCUUUAAUUUCUUUUGAUUAGUGUUAGCUAUGUCUAAAACUUAUAUGCCUAUAAAGGCAUAUCUAUAAGUUCUACCUAUAAAAAAAUAGUUAUAUUAUGUGGGUACUUCUUGGUGCAUCACAAAAAUAGAGAUAGGAUCGUCGNUUCA